Molecule: ribosomal RNA, 254 nt
Filed under: uncultured bacterium
Lineage: Bacteria
Description: partial 16S ribosomal RNA
Rfam family: Bacterial small subunit ribosomal RNA
Source: RNAcentral
UACGUAGGGGGCGAGCGUUGUCCGGAUUUAUUGGGCGUAAAGAGCUCGUAGGCGGCUUGGCAAGUCGGGUGUGAAACCUCCAGGCUCAACCUGGAGACGCCACUCGAUACUGCUAUGGCUAGAGUCCGGUAGGGGACCACGGAAUUCCUGGUGUAGCGGUGAAAUGCGCAGAUAUCGGGAGGAACACCAGUAGCGAAGGCGGCUCGCUGGGCCACACCUGACGCUGAGACGCGAAAGCUAGGGGAGCGAACAGG